RNAcentral lists this ribosomal RNA (394 nucleotides) under uncultured bacterium. RNAcentral's name for it is "partial 16S ribosomal RNA". It matches the Rfam family "Bacterial small subunit ribosomal RNA", at positions 523 to 918 of the family's 1533-position model. The record is from RNAcentral.
ACACGUAGGGGGCGAGCGUUGUUCGGAAUCAUUGGGCGUAAAGGGCGUGCAGGCGGUCGUGCAAGUCCGGCGUGAAAGACCCCGGCCCAACCGGGGGGACGCGCUGGAAACUGCAGGGCUUGAGUACAGGAGGGGAUGCCGGAAUUCCAGGUGUAGGGGUGAAAUCUGUAGAUAUCUGGAAGAACACCAAUGGCGAAGGCAGGCAUCUGGCCAUGUACUGACGCUGAGACGCGAAGGUGCGGGGAGCAAACAGGUUUAGAUGCCCUGGUAGUCCGCACAGUAAACGAUGUGCACCAGGUGGCGGGGGGUCGACCCCCGGUACCGUAGCUAACGCAUUAAGUGCACCGCCUGGGGAGUAUGCUCGCAAGGGUGAAACUCAAAUGAAUUGACGGGG